GAUGAAGAACGUAGUGAAAUGCGAUAAUUAAUGUGAAUUGCAGAAUUCAGUGAAUCAUCGAGUCUUUGAACGCACAUUGCGCCCCCUGGUAUUCCGGGGGGCAUGCCUGUCCGAGCGUCAUUGCUGCCCUCAAGCACGGCUUGUGUGUUGGGCUUCCGUCCCUGGCAACGGGGACGGGCCCAAAAGGCAGUGGCGGCACCAUGUCUGGUCCUCGAGCGUAUGGGGCUUUGUCACCCGCUCCCGUAGGUCCAGCUGGCAGCUAGCCUCGCAACCAAUCUUUUUAACCAGGUUAACCUCGGAUCAGGUAGGGAUACCCGCUGAACUUAAGCAUAUCAAUAAGCGGAGGA
This 347-nucleotide unclassified non-coding RNA is filed under the name soil metagenome. RNAcentral's name for it is "partial contains 5.8S ribosomal RNA, internal transcribed spacer 2, and large subunit ribosomal RNA". The stretch from base 1 to 120 matches the Rfam family "5.8S ribosomal RNA", at positions 35 to 154 of the family's 154-position model. The record is from RNAcentral.